GACGAACGCUGGCGGCGUGCUUAACACAUGCAAGUCGAACGGAAAGGCCCUGCUUUUGUGGGGUGCUCGAGUGGCGAACGGGUGAGUAACACGUGAGUAACCUGCCCUUGACUUUGGGAUAACUUCAGGAAACUGGGGCUAAUACCGGAUAGGAGCUCCUGCUGCAUGGUGGGGGUUGGAAAGUUUCGGCGGUUGGGGAUGGACUCGCGGCUUAUCAGCUUGUUGGUGGGGUAGUGGCUUACCAAGGCUUUGACGGGUAGCCGGCCUGAGAGGGUGACCGGCCACAUUGGGACUGAGAUACGGCCCAGACUCCUACGGGAGGCAGCGGUGGGGAAUAUUGCACAAUGGGCGGAAGCCUGAUGCAGCAACGCCGCGUGCGGGAUGACGGCCUUCGGGUUGUAAACCGCUUUCGCCUGUGACGAAGCGUGAGUGACGGUAAUGGGUAAAGAAGCACCGGCUAACUACGUGCCAGCAGCCGCGGUGAUACGUAGGGUGCGAGCGUUGUCCGGAUUUAUUGGGCGUAAAGGGCUCGUAGGUGGUUGAUCGCGUCGGAAGUGUAAUCUUGGGGCUUAACCCUGAGCGUGCUUUCGAUACGGGUUGACUUGAGGAAAGGUAGGGGAGAAUGGAAUUCCUGGUGGAGCGGUGGAAUGCGCAGAUAUCAGGAGGAACACCAGUGGCGAAGGCGGUUCUCUGGGCCUUUCCUGACGCUGAGGAGCGAAAGCGUGGGGAGCGAACAGGCUUAGAUACCCUGGUAGUCCACGCUGUAAACGGUGGGUACUAGGUGUGGGGUCCAUUCCACGGGUUCCGUGCCGUAGCUAACGCUUUAAGUACCCCGCCUGGGGAGUACGGCCGCAAGGCUAAAACUCAAAGGAAUUGACGGGGCCCCGCACAAGCGGCGGAGCAUGCGGAUUAAUUCGAUGCAACGCGUAGAACCUUACCUGGGUUUGACAUGGAUCGGGAGUGCUCAGAGAUGGGUGUGCCUCUUUUGGGGUCGGUUCACAGGUGGUGCAUGGCUGUCGUCAGCUCGUGUCGUGAGAUGUUGGGUUAAGUCCCGCAACGAGCGCAACCCUUGUUCACUGUUGCCAGCACGUUAUGGUGGGGACUCAGUGGAGACCGCCGGGGUCAACUCGGAGGAAGGUGGGGAUGACGUCAAGUCAUCAUGCCCCUUAUGUCCAGGGCUUCACGCAUGCUACAAUGGCUGGUACAGAGAGUGGCGAGCCUGUAAGGGUGAGCGAAUCUCGGAAAGCCGGUCUCAGUUCGGAUUGGGGUCUGCAACUCGACCUCAUGAAGUCGGAGUCGCUAGUAAUCGCAGAUCAGCAACGCUGCGGUGAAUACGUUCCCGGG
Molecule: ribosomal RNA, 1344 nt
Filed under: uncultured bacterium
Lineage: Bacteria
Description: 16S ribosomal RNA
Rfam family: Bacterial small subunit ribosomal RNA
Source: RNAcentral